This 253-nucleotide ribosomal RNA is filed under the name uncultured bacterium. RNAcentral describes it as "partial 16S ribosomal RNA". It matches the Rfam family "Bacterial small subunit ribosomal RNA", at positions 524 to 776 of the family's 1533-position model. The record is from RNAcentral.
UACGGAGGGGGCGAGUGUUGUUCGGAAUUACUGGGCGUAAAGGGCGCGCAGGCGGCUUGGCAAGUCAAGUGUGAAAUCCCUCAGCUUAACUGAGGAAUUGCGCUUGAAACUACCUCGCUAGAGGGUGGGAGAGGGAAGUGGAACUCUCGGUGUAGGGGUGAAAUCUGUAGAUAUCGAGAGGAACACCGGUGGCGAAGGCGGCUUCCUGGCCCACAUCUGACGCUGAGGCGCGAAAGCGUGGGGAGCAAACAGG